GAUGAACGCUAGCUACAGGCCUAACACAUGCAAGUCGAGGGGAAACGGCAGCUUAGCUUGCUAAGCUGGACGUCGACCGGCGCACGGGUGAGUAACGCGUAUCCAACCUGCCCCACGGUGAGGGAUAACCCGCGGAAACGCGGCCUAAUACCUCAUGGCCUCCGAGCUUGACAUCAAUCUUGGAGUAAAGAUUCAUUGCCGUGGGAUGGGGAUGCGUCUGAUUAGCUUGUUGGCGGGGCAACGGCCCACCAAGGCAACGAUCCAGUAGGGGUUCUGAGAGGAAGGUCCCCCCACAUUGGAACUGAGACACGGUCCAAACUCCUACGGGAGGCAGCAGUGAGGAAUAUUGGGUCAAUGGGCGAGAGCCCUG
Molecule: ribosomal RNA, 370 nt
Filed under: uncultured bacterium
Lineage: Bacteria
Description: bacterial SSU rRNA
Rfam family: Bacterial small subunit ribosomal RNA
Source: RNAcentral